UACGUAGGGGGCUAGCGUUGUCCGGAAUCAUUGGGCGUAAAGAGCGUGUAGGCGGUCCGGUAAGUCCGCUGUGAAAGUCGGGGGCUCAACCCUCGAAUGCCGGUGGAUACUGCUGGGCUCGAGUCCGGAAGAGGCGAGUGGAAUUCCUGGUGUAGCGGUGAAAUGCGCAGAUAUCAGGAGGAACACCGAUGGCGAAGGCAGCUCGCUGGGACGGUACUGACGCUGAGGCGCGAAAGCGUGGGGAGCAAACAGG
This 253-nucleotide ribosomal RNA is filed under the name uncultured bacterium. Its description in RNAcentral is "partial 16S ribosomal RNA". It matches the Rfam family "Bacterial small subunit ribosomal RNA", at positions 524 to 776 of the family's 1533-position model. The record is from RNAcentral.